GAACGCAUCUUGUGCUCCUUGGUAUUCUGAGGAGCAUGCCUGUUUGAGUGUCAUUAUCACCCCUCAAGCCUAGCUUGGUGUUGAGACCUGCUGUCAAGGCAGUCUCUAAAAUCAGUGGCAGUGCUGUCAGGCUCUAAGCGUAGUAAAUUCAUCGCUAUAGACACCUGGUGGCCACUCGCCAGAACCCCCCCAUUUUUUAAUGAUUGACCUCGGAUUAGGUAGGGAUACCCGCUGAACUUAAG
Molecule: unclassified non-coding RNA, 242 nt
Filed under: uncultured Tetracladium
Lineage: Eukaryota; Fungi; Ascomycota
Description: sequence contains 5.8S rRNA gene
Source: RNAcentral